Molecule: long non-coding RNA, 919 nt
Organism: Manis pentadactyla (Chinese pangolin)
Lineage: Eukaryota; Metazoa; Chordata; Mammalia; Pholidota; Manidae
Exons: 3
Source: RefSeq, a predicted model, not a curated record
CUGGGUUAAGCAAAGGGAUAGAAGCUGGCCUGAGCAGCCAGUUGGGUCAGGAGACUGGCUUCACUGAAAUGAAGAGGCCACAGCCGGGAACAACGGGAGACCAGACCAAAGAAGAGACAAGGCCAUGGACAUCCUGAUGGAUGCCAGCAAGCGCACACGGUACCAGGUUCAACUCCCGGGGACAGCGAGCAGAUGGGAGGAGGGGGUGGCAACCGGACCAAAUUGCCUGCGAUUCCCCAGAAUCUACCUAAUGGAGACUGUCAGGGGCAUACCAGUAUAACGGGGGCUUGAAAAAGAAAGAUGGAACACUGACAAAAGGUGUGGCCGGGCUACGGUGUGUGGAUAAAAUGACCAGCCGUGUAGAUUCGGAGAAGCAGAGAACUUCUGCACCAGCUGGGCAGAGCGUGAGCAAACUACAGGCCUUGCAGAGAAACCCCUCACUGGUGGGAUGCCAGGUACAACAUGAUCCAAGAGAGGGGAUGUAGUAAUGACCAAGAUGGGUGCUAAGGGCAGCUGCUGAGGAACCACACACCACUGCACAUUGGAGAGAAAUCUGGAGUUUUCUGGCCUCCAUGAAGAUGUGGAUAGCUGCAAGACAAGGAGAGACCUAUGUUCUAAAUAAGAAAGCCCUGAGUGUGACCCUCUUGUCACCAGAGGCCAUGGCCAGGACCAGGGUGUGGGCGGCGGAUGCCACUACGGUGCCCAUGGACAGCACAGUGGAGGCUCGGAAGGACCAGGGAUAUUUGAGCAACAUCACCGCACCCAGACACCAUCCUGGGAAGGGGCAGAAGGGACCCCUGCAAGCUGUUUGGAAUUUGAGCUUUGAACUGACUGCUUUAUCUACAGGAGUUCUGAAAAAAAAAAGAGGUUAAGUUGCCACUAAUCAUCCCAAUAUCACCCCAUCCCUGCUGUCAGCAGA